This 253-nucleotide ribosomal RNA is filed under the name uncultured bacterium. RNAcentral describes it as "partial 16S ribosomal RNA". It matches the Rfam family "Bacterial small subunit ribosomal RNA", at positions 524 to 776 of the family's 1533-position model. The record is from RNAcentral.
UACGGAGGGUGCAAGCGUUGCUCGGAAUUAUUGGGCGUAAAGGGUAGGUAGGUGGUCUCAUUUGUCUGGGGUGAAAUCCUUGGGCUUAACUCAAGAAGUGCCCCAGAAACGGUGAGACUAGAGUCCUGGAGAGGGUCGUGGAAUUCCCGGUGUAGCGGUGAAAUGCGUAGAGAUCGGGAGGAACACCAGAGGCGAAGGCGGCCAGCUGGGCCGUUGCUGACGCUGAUGCGCGAAAGCGUGGGGAGCAAACAGG